AGCAGCCGCGGUAAUUCCAGCUCCAAUAGCGUAUAUUAAAGUUGUUGCAGUUAAAAAGCUCGUAGUUGAAUUUCGGGAUCAGUUCGCUGGUCGUGCCUCUGGUAUGUACUGGUGUUACUGGUUCCUCCCUUCUGACGAACUGUCAUGUCAUUUAUUUGGUGUGGCGGGGAAUCAGGACUGUUACUUUGAAAAAAUUAGAGUGUUUAAAGCAGGCUCGCGCUUGAAUACAUUAGCAUGGAAUAAUGAAAUAGGACGUUCGAUCCUAUUUUGUUGGUUUCUAGGAUUGACGUAAUGAUUAAUAGGGAUAGGUUGGGGCAUUAGUAUUCAAUUGUCAGAGGUGAAAUUCUUGGAUUUAUGAAGACUAACUACUGACGAAAGCAUUU
RNAcentral lists this ribosomal RNA (383 nucleotides) under uncultured Glomus. Its description in RNAcentral is "SSU rRNA". It matches the Rfam family "Eukaryotic small subunit ribosomal RNA", at positions 569 to 956 of the family's 1831-position model. Lineage: Eukaryota; Fungi; Glomeromycota; Glomeromycetes; Glomerales; Glomeraceae. The record is from RNAcentral.